CCCUAUCUGCCGUGGGCGCUGGAGAACUGAGGGGGGCUGCUCCUAGUACGAGAGGACCGGAGUGGACGCAUCACUGGUGUUCGGGUUGUCAUGCCAAUGGCACUGCCCGGUAGCUAAAUGCGGAAGAGAUAAGUGCUGAAAGCAUCUAAGCACGAAACUUGCCCCGAGAUGAGUUCUCCCUGACUCCUUGAGAGUCCUGAAGGAACGUUGAAGACGACGACGUUGAUAGGCCGGGUGUGUAAGCGCAGCGAUGCGUUGAGCUAACCGGUACUAAUGAACCGUGAGGCUUAACCUUACAACGCCGAAG
This 307-nucleotide ribosomal RNA is filed under the name Escherichia coli. RNAcentral describes it as "partial 23S ribosomal RNA". It matches the Rfam family "Bacterial large subunit ribosomal RNA", at positions 2636 to 2925 of the family's 2925-position model. Lineage: Bacteria; Pseudomonadati; Pseudomonadota; Gammaproteobacteria; Enterobacterales; Enterobacteriaceae. The record is from RNAcentral.